CCUACGUGCGGCAGCAGUGAGGAAUAUUGGUCAAUGGACGAGAGUCUGAACCAGCCAAGUAGCGUGAAGGAUGACUGCCCUAUGGGUUGUAAACUUCUUUUAUAAAGGAAUAAAACGAGGCACGUGUGCCUUUUUGCAUGUACUUUAUGAAUAAGGAUCGGCUAACUCCGUGCCAGCAGCCGCGGUAAUACGGAGGAUCCGAGCGUUAUCCGGAUUUAUUGGGUUUAAAGGGAGCGUAGAUGGGUUGUUAAGUCAGUUGUGAAAGUUUGCGGCUCAACCGUAAAAUUGCAAUUGAUACUGGCAGUCUUGAGUACAGUUGAGGUAGGCGGAAUUCGUGGUGCAGCGGUGAAAUGCUUAGAUAUCACGAAGAACCCCGAUUGCGAAGGCAGCUUAAUAAACUGUGACUGACAUUGAUGCUCGAAAGUGUGGGUAUCAAACAGGAUUAGAUACCCCAGUAGUC
RNAcentral lists this ribosomal RNA (460 nucleotides) under uncultured bacterium. RNAcentral's name for it is "partial 16S ribosomal RNA". It matches the Rfam family "Bacterial small subunit ribosomal RNA", at positions 338 to 795 of the family's 1533-position model. The record is from RNAcentral.